Molecule: ribosomal RNA, 253 nt
Filed under: uncultured bacterium
Lineage: Bacteria
Description: partial 16S ribosomal RNA
Rfam family: Bacterial small subunit ribosomal RNA
Source: RNAcentral
UACGUAGGGUGCAAGCGUUAAUCGGAAUUACUGGGCGUAAAGCGUGCGCAGGCGGUGAUGUAAGACAGAUGUGAAAUCCCCGGGCUCAACCUGGGAACUGCAGUUGUGACUGCAUCGCUAGAGUACGGUAGAGGGGGAUGGAAUUCCGCGUGUAGCAGUGAAAUGCGUAGAUAUCGGAAGGAACACCAGUGGCGAAAGCGGCUUCCUGGUCCAGCACCGACGUUCAGGCACGAAAGCGUGGGGAGCAAACAGG